UGAACGCUGGCGGUAGGCCUAACACAUGCAAGUCGAACGGCAGCACAGUAAGAGCUUGCUCUUACGGGUGGCGAGUGGCGGACGGGUGAGGAAUACAUCGGAAUCUACUUUUUCGUGGGGGAUAACGUAGGGAAACUUACGCUACUACCGCAUACGACCUACGGGUGAAAGCAGGGGAUCUUCGGACCUUUCGCGAUUGAAUGAGCCGAUGUCGGAUUAGCUAGUUGGCGGGGUAAAGGCCCACCAAGGCGACGAUCCGUAGCUGGUCUGAGAGGAUGAUCAGCCACACUGGAACUGAGACACGGUCCAGACUCCUACGGGAGGCAGCAGUGGGGAAUAUUGGACAAUGGGCGCAAGCCUGAUCCAGCCAUACCGCGUGGGUGAAGAAGGCCUUCGGGUUGUAAAGCCCUUUUGUUGGGAAAGAAAAGCAGCAGGUUAAUACCCCGCUGUUCUGACGGUACCCAAAGAAUAAGCACCGGCUAACUUCGUG
This 490-nucleotide ribosomal RNA is filed under the name uncultured bacterium. RNAcentral's name for it is "partial 16S ribosomal RNA". It matches the Rfam family "Bacterial small subunit ribosomal RNA", at positions 30 to 507 of the family's 1533-position model. The record is from RNAcentral.